CCUACGGGCGGCAGCAGUGGGGAAUAUUGGGCAAUGGACGCAAGUCUGACCCAGCAACGCCGCGUGAAGGAAGAAGGCUUUCGGGUCGUAAACUUCUGUUAAUGGGGAAGAGCAGAAGACGGUACCACUUUAAUAAGCCACGGCUAACUACGUGCCAGCAGCCGCGGUAAUACGUAGGUGGCAAGCGUUGUCCGGCUUUACUGGGUGUAAAGGUCGUGCAGUCGGAGAGACAAGUCAGAUGUGAAAUCCACGGGCUCAACCCGUGAACUGCAUUUGAAACUGGUUCACUUGAGUGUAGGAGAGGGAAUCGGAAUUCCUUGUGUAGCGGGGAAAGGCGUAGAUAUAAGGAAGAACACCAGUGGCGAAGGCGGAUUACUGGACGAUAACUGACGGUGAGGCGCGAAAGCGUGGGGAGCAAACAGGAUUAGAUACCCCUGUAGUC
RNAcentral lists this ribosomal RNA (442 nucleotides) under uncultured bacterium. RNAcentral's name for it is "partial 16S ribosomal RNA". It matches the Rfam family "Bacterial small subunit ribosomal RNA", at positions 338 to 795 of the family's 1533-position model. The record is from RNAcentral.